GGGGGGGGCAAGCGUUGUUCGGAAUUACUGGGCGUAAAGGGUGCGUAGGCGGCUUUCUAAGUUGGAUGUGAAAACUCUGGGCUCAACCCAGAGCCUGCAUCCAAAACUGGAGAGCUUGGGUACUGGAGGGGAAAGCGGAAUUCCUGGUGUAGCGGUGAAAUGCGUAGAUAUCAGGAGGAACACCGGUGGCGAAGGCGGCUUUCUGGACAGUUACCGACGCUGAGGCACGAAAGCUAGGGGAGCAAACAGGAUUAGAUACCCUGGUAGUCCUAGCCCUAAACGAUGGAUACUUGCUGUGAGGGGGAUUGAAACCCUUUGUGGCGAAGCUAACGCAUUAAGUAUCCCGCCUGGGGAGUACGGUCGCAAGGCUG
Molecule: ribosomal RNA, 371 nt
Filed under: uncultured bacterium
Lineage: Bacteria
Description: bacterial SSU rRNA
Rfam family: Bacterial small subunit ribosomal RNA
Source: RNAcentral